Long non-coding RNA from Neodiprion fabricii, 590 nucleotides. RefSeq lists it as uncharacterized. The transcript has 2 exons. NCBI's taxonomy places the organism in Eukaryota, Metazoa, Arthropoda, Insecta, Hymenoptera, Diprionidae. The record is from RefSeq and is a predicted model, not a curated record.
ACGUAAUUAGUCAUCAACGCGUAAUUAGAUAUAUUAAUACACUUGAUAAAAAUUUUAAACGUAAUAUCGAUUUUCGGGUAGUCCGCUUGAUUCAGGUCUCAUAACGCGCCGAAUGCUCUUCAAAUAAACUUUCAUCUUUCUAAGCUUACAACAAAGCUUCAAUUGCACAUUAUAUAAGUAAAUGUCACAUACAGUCUUAUAUGAAAGUUUGAUAAAAUUUUCGGAAUUUAUACAAGUGACCUCGAUUAGUAUUAUUAUUAUCUUGAAGCUUACUCGAAGAAAUUUCGUUAUGUAUUCAAUUCACUGAAGCAAGCAAUUUAUUUAUUGUUUUAUCAUGUAAUUCGAGGUGGUGUCGUGGCGAAGAUCUGACGUUUUUAUUGCAUCAGCGUUCGAGUUUGAUUUGCGAGGCUGCAAAGUGCAAACAAUACCAAACAUCAAAAUUGUAGUGUUUUCAGACCAAAUUUUAAAGAAGAGAUCGAUGUUGAAUCAGUGAUUACAAUUCAAUUUCAAACUACAACAGGCUGCUGGAGGUCGGCCACUGGAAACGACUCCAGUUAUACGAAUAUUAGUAAGUACAGAUCUGAGUUUAG